GACGACGCUGGCGGCGUGCUUAACACAUGCAAGUCGAACGGAACUCUUUGGAUCGAGACUUCGGUCAAGUGAAGUUGAGUUUAGUGGCGGACGGGUGAGUAACGCGUGAGGAACCUGCCUUUCAGAGGGGACAACGGUUGGAAACGACUGCUAAUACCGCAUAACGUAUAGAGAUCGCAUGGUCCUUAUACCAAAGAUUUUAUCGCUGAUAGAUGAGCUUGCGUCUGAUUAGAUAGUUGGUGGGGUAACGGCCUACCAAGUCGACGAUCAGUAGCCGGACUGAGAGGUUGAACGGCCACAUUGGGACUGAGAUACGGUCCAGACUCCUACGGGAGGCAGCAGUCGGGAAUAUUGGGCAAUGGGGGAAACCCUGACCCAGCAACGCCGCGUGAAGGAAGAAGGCCUUCGGGUUGUAAACUUCUUUUACCAGGGACGAACACAAUGACGGUACCCGGAGAAAAAGCAACGGCUAACUACGUG
Molecule: ribosomal RNA, 480 nt
Filed under: uncultured bacterium
Lineage: Bacteria
Description: bacterial SSU rRNA
Rfam family: Bacterial small subunit ribosomal RNA
Source: RNAcentral